RNAcentral lists this signal recognition particle RNA (96 nucleotides) under Moraxellaceae bacterium. Its description in RNAcentral is "signal recognition particle sRNA small type". It matches the Rfam family "Bacterial small signal recognition particle RNA". From Rfam's summary of the family: The signal recognition particle (SRP) is a universally conserved ribonucleoprotein involved in the co-translational targeting of proteins to membranes. Archaeal SRP consists of a 7S RNA and homologues of the eukaryotic SRP19 and SRP54 proteins. The record is from RNAcentral. Lineage: Bacteria; Pseudomonadati; Pseudomonadota; Gammaproteobacteria; Moraxellales; Moraxellaceae.
UGCUGGUCUCCCCGCAAUGCAAAGCAGUUAACCCCGCCAGAUCCGGAAGGAAGCAACGGUCGCUGCCUAGUGUGUGCCGGGGCCGGGCUUGCAGGG